GAAGAGGUGGCCGAGUGGUCCAAGGCGCCGCAUCCCAAUGAUCUUUGUUUGAUUCCUCUUGGAUUCAAAAACUGCGGUCUGUUCCAAGAACAGUCGUGGGUUCAAAUCCCUCCCUCUUCC
This 120-nucleotide transfer RNA is filed under the name Linnemannia schmuckeri. Its description in RNAcentral is "Mortierella schmuckeri tRNA". It matches the Rfam family "tRNA". Rfam says of the family: Transfer RNA (tRNA) molecules are approximately 80 nucleotides in length. Their secondary structure includes four short double-helical elements and three loops (D, anti-codon, and T loops). The record is from Rfam by way of RNAcentral. Lineage: Eukaryota; Fungi; Mortierellomycota; Mortierellomycetes; Mortierellales; Mortierellaceae.